Molecule: ribosomal RNA, 459 nt
Filed under: uncultured bacterium
Lineage: Bacteria
Description: partial 16S ribosomal RNA
Rfam family: Bacterial small subunit ribosomal RNA
Source: RNAcentral
CCUACGGGAGGCAGCAGUGAGGAAUAUUGGUCAAUGGGCGCGAGCCUGAACCAGCCAAGUCGCGUGAGGGAAGACGGUCCUAUGGAUUGUAAACCUCUUUUGUCGGGGAGCAAAAGACGCCACGCGUGGCGUUCCGAGAGUACCCGAAGAAAAAGCAUCGGCUAACUCCGUGCCAGCAGCCGCGGUAAUACGGAGGAUGCGAGCGUUAUCCGGAUUUAUUGGGUUUAAAGGGUGCGUAGGCGGUCCGUUAAGUCAGCGGUAAAAGCCCGGGGCUCAACCCCGGCCCGCCGUUGAAACUGGCAGUCUCGAGUUGGAGAGAAGUAUGCGGAAUGCGCGGUGUAGCGGUGAAAUGCAUAGAUAUCGCGCAGAACUCCGAUUGCGAAGGCGGCCUGCUGGACAUUAACUGACGCUGAGGCGCGAAAGCGUGGGGAGCAAACAGGAUUAGAUACCCCGGUAGUC